This 99-nucleotide transfer RNA is filed under the name Lucilia cuprina (Australian sheep blowfly). RNAcentral's name for it is "tRNA-Tyr for anticodon GUA". It matches the Rfam family "tRNA". Rfam says of the family: Transfer RNA (tRNA) molecules are approximately 80 nucleotides in length. Their secondary structure includes four short double-helical elements and three loops (D, anti-codon, and T loops). The record is from Rfam by way of RNAcentral. Lineage: Eukaryota; Metazoa; Arthropoda; Insecta; Diptera; Calliphoridae.
CCUUCGAUAGCUCAGUUGGUAGAGCGGUGGACUGUAGUAUGAUUGUGAAUAAAAGAAGCAGUAAUCCAUAGGUCGCUGGUUCAAAUCCGGCUCGAAGGA